UGGGGAAUUUUGCACAAUGGGGGAAACCCUGAUGCAGCGACGCCGCGUGAUUUAGAAGGCCUUCGGGUUGUAAAAAUCUUUUGUAUAGGAAGAAAAUGACAGUACUAUACGAAUAAGGACCGGCUAAUUACGUGCCAGCAGCCGCGGUAAUACGUAAGGUCCGAGCGUUGUCCGGAAUCAUUGGGCGUAAAGGGUACGUAGGCGGGUAAGCAAGUUAGAAGUGAAAUCCUGUAGCUCAACUACAGUAAGCUUUUAAAACUGCUCAUCUUGAGAUAUGGAAGGGAAAGUGGAAUUCCUAGUGUAGCGGUGAAAUGCGCAGAUAUUAGGAGGAAUACCGGUGGCGAAGGCGACUUUCUGGCCAUAAUCUGACGCUGAGGUACGAAAGCGUGGGUAGCAAACAGG
Molecule: ribosomal RNA, 402 nt
Filed under: Bacteroidota bacterium
Lineage: Bacteria; Pseudomonadati; Bacteroidota
Description: Bacteroidetes bacterium partial 16S ribosomal RNA
Rfam family: Bacterial small subunit ribosomal RNA
Source: RNAcentral